This 514-nucleotide ribosomal RNA is filed under the name Sugiyamaella sp. UFMG-CM-Y610. RNAcentral's name for it is "eukaryotic LSU rRNA". It matches the Rfam family "Eukaryotic large subunit ribosomal RNA", at positions 80 to 598 of the family's 3401-position model. The record is from RNAcentral. Lineage: Eukaryota; Fungi; Ascomycota; Dipodascomycetes; Dipodascales; Trichomonascaceae.
UUAGUAGCGGCGAGUGAAGCGGCAAAAGCUCAAAUUUGAAAUCUGGCGCCUUUGGUGUCCGAGUUGUAAUUUGAAGAAGGUAACUUUUGAGUGGGUCCUUGCUUAUGUUCCUUGGAACAGGACGUCAUAGAGGGUGAGAAUCCCGUAUGGCGAGGCAACCUAUUCAAUGUAAAGUGCUUUCGAAGAGUCGAGUUGUUUGGGAAUGCAGCUCUAAGUGGGUGGUAAAUUCCAUCUAAAGCUAAAUAUUGGCGAGAGACCGAUAGCGAACAAGUACAGUGAUGGAAAGAUGAAAAGAACUUUGAAAAGAGAGUGAAAAAGUACGUGAAAUUGUUGAAAGGGAAGGGCUUGAGAUCAGACUUGGUAUUCAGUGAUCAACUUUCUUUCGGGAAUGUGCACUCGCUGUUUACUGGGCCAGUAUCGGUUUUGACGGUGGGAUAAUGAUAUAGGAAUGUGGCUUUUCGGAGUGUUAUAGCCUAUGUUGAUACCACCAGUCGGGACCGAGGACCGCGCUUUU